This 568-nucleotide ribosomal RNA is filed under the name uncultured bacterium. RNAcentral's name for it is "partial 16S ribosomal RNA". It matches the Rfam family "Bacterial small subunit ribosomal RNA", at positions 355 to 912 of the family's 1533-position model. The record is from RNAcentral.
UGGGGAAUUUUGGACAAUGGGCGAAAGCCUGAUGCAGCCAUGCCGCGUGUGUGAAGAAGGCCUUCGGGUUGUAAAGCACUUUCAGCGAGGAGGAAGGUGGUGAGCUUAAUACGCUCAUCAAUUGACGUUACUCGCAGAAGAAGCACCGGCUAACUCCGUGCCAGCAGCCGCGGUAAUACGGAGGGUGCAAGCGUUAAUCGGAAUUACUGGGCGUAAAGCGCACGCAGGCGGUUUGUUAAGUCAGAUGUGAAAUCCCCGGGCUCAACCUGGGAACUGCAUUUGAAACUGGCAAGCUAGAGUCUCGUAGAGGGGGGUAGAAUUCCAGGUGUAGCGGUGAAAUGCGUAGAGAUCUGGAGGAAUACCGGUGGCGAAGGCGGCCCCCUGGACGAAGACUGACGCUCAGGUGCGAAAGCGUGGGGCAGCAAACAGGAUUAGAUACCCUGGUAGUCCACGCUGUAAACGAUGUCGAUUUUGGAGGUUGUGCCCCUUGAGGCGUGGCUUCCGGAGCUAACGCGUUAAAUCGACCGCCUGGGGAGUACGGCCGCAAGGUUAAAACUCAAAGGAAUUG